This 79-nucleotide non-coding RNA is filed under the name Desulfuromusa kysingii. Its description in RNAcentral is "GEMM cis-regulatory element". It matches the Rfam family "c-di-GMP-I riboswitch aptamer". Rfam says of the family: GEMM was predicted in a large-scale screen for bacterial structured RNA regulatory elements. Genes associated with GEMM are involved in a diverse array of functions, including chemotaxis regulation, signal transduction, secretion and chitin. The record is from RNAcentral. Lineage: Bacteria; Pseudomonadati; Thermodesulfobacteriota; Desulfuromonadia; Desulfuromonadales; Geopsychrobacteraceae.
CUACCGAAAGGGCAAAGCUGGAGUAAUCCGGUGACGCAAAGCCACGGAUCCUGUUUUUCAGGACAGCCGGGUUGCCGAA